UCUCGAAGAGUCGAAACAAAGAGGAGAAAAGUUAGCGAAAAAUCGGUGGCGACACGCCGCGUGUCAAAUGUCAGACACAACGCGAUAAGGAUCUGAGAAGUGUCCCUCCUCCUUCUCCUUCGUACGAAGGUUGCGGAGUCCUCUAGCGUGGACUCAUUACCGGCGAGAGAGAGAGAGAGAGAGAGAGAGAGAGGCAGAGCAGGAUAGGAUGCGCAUCGGUCCGACGACGCUCUAUUAUGCCGCGAAACAAUGGUCGCCGUGGCGCGGCCGUCACGUUGCCGGGAAAUAGUUGGUCGCCGCGUUAAGGACCGGCAACAUCGCCUCUUCAUACGGCCGCCGUGUAAUGGAAUAUAAUCGGAAUAUGGCGGGGCGAGCGAGAAAUACGACGAUACGCGUCGAUCCCAUUUCCGCCGCGAGGGAGAAGAGAAUAUUUCGUGAAACGUUUCUUCCCUUGAAAUAAGGAACAAGGAACGUUUGCUUCAAUUUCGAAUUUCAAAGGAUUUUAUAUAAAGAAGGAGGAUUCAAUUUUCAAGGAUACUUUGUAUCCUUACUUCGUUCUUGGUUAAUUUAAAGAUAACCUAUAUUCAGUUGGAACGCUUUGUCGACUGACACCGCACGUUUCGCACACGCUUACUUGAUUAAUAAAUAAUGAAAGUUGGAAGAGUUUUACGAUUAUCGCGGAAAGAACGUUUUCGCCAGGCCUUUGUCGACGAUCCUGACAUCUAUGUAAUAAUAGAAGAGCUGUAAUUCGAAUAUUUGCGAAUGUUCGCGCAAGGAUUAUUGUAAUAAUCGGUGAACGGAUGAGUAUUCAUCGACGACACGUAUUCGAUCAAUCUUUCAAGACUGUUCGCUGUUGGAAAAACGACGAUAUUUGACACCACACGUUUCAUGGUAAUAAAAGAGCUAUAAUUCAAAAAUUAUUCUCAUUUAUGAAGUUAAUGUAAUCUCUUAAGAUUGGAAGCUGAUACUAUUAAUUAUCUUGAUAUUAAUGUACGUGCAAGCAUCUUAUUUUUAAAUUAAACUUGCGCAGAAAUUACGAGAAAUAGAAAUAUUUUUAUCGUACAUCGAUACGUUAGAAUUCCCUGGAUUCUGCGCAUGCGCUGGAUCCAUCAUUGUUCGGUAUAAAUAAACACGAAGGAGGGGAAAAGAAAAAUAGACGUUUCAAAUUUCAAAUUGACCAUUAAUCGGAUCCGCAUUCCUCGCAGCGCAUCGAACGGACGAACGAAGUGACUCGGGUUGCGCGAUAAUUAAUUUUCAAUCAAGUUAGCAGUCCCUAGCUAAGUAUCUUUUAAACGCUGCAAUAAAAUUAACGAUUCGCCACGUUUUAA
This is a long non-coding RNA of Apis mellifera (honey bee), 1328 nucleotides long. RefSeq lists it as uncharacterized. The record is from RefSeq and is a predicted model, not a curated record. NCBI's taxonomy places the organism in Eukaryota, Metazoa, Arthropoda, Insecta, Hymenoptera, Apidae. The transcript has 3 exons.